This is a long non-coding RNA of Prunus persica (peach), 1950 nucleotides long. RefSeq lists it as uncharacterized. The record is from RefSeq and is a predicted model, not a curated record. The transcript is spliced from 2 exons. Lineage: Eukaryota; Viridiplantae; Streptophyta; Magnoliopsida; Rosales; Rosaceae.
CAUGAGAGAGUUGUGGGCUGGUGUGCAUGUGAGCCGCACCAAAGGAGAGAAAGCAUGCAAAGGUGCGUGGGCUGCUGUGCUUCAGCUGCACCAAGGCAAGGGAGGGAGAGCACGGAAGAGAGGGAGUGGACUGCUUGUGAGAUGCAAGCAAGCAGUCCCACGAACUCUUGGAGCAUGUUUCAACUGGGAGUUAGCUGGGUUCAUCAAGGGUUCAAGAGAGGGUAUAUCUCUUGGGGUGAGAGUGAUUUUCACAUGUAUGAGAGAGGGUGUACAAGGGGUGUAUCCUAUUGGAUACGGGACUCGGGUUUGGGUAUAAAAAACUCUUGAGUGGUUAUUCUUGUCUUUCUUUUAUUAUAGUGAAGGUGGUCACUCCCCAGGGACGUAGUCAGGUUAUUUGUCGAAGUUUGUAAAUUCUCGGUGUGUUCUCUCAUGUAUUUACUCAUUGUCAUCUUGGGCUUCUUUGUUUUUCUAUCUUUAUUUCUUCCAUCGGGUUCGCUGUGACCAGGGGGAAACGUGUGUUUCCCCAACAUGAAGCCCCUUAACUCUUCCAUUCACUUUCAAUCACUAUUUCUCUAUCCUUAACUCUUUCUUUCGUUUUUUGUGCCUAUGGACAAUUCUCAAGACACCAACCCUUUCGCAGACCUUUACAAGUCCUCUUCUUCUGAUGUUAUCCGUCAGCCUUCUUUUCCUCCUGCUGCAUAGUAUGUUUCCUCACUCGCUCCUCACUCGCUUCUUCAAUGAGCCUACCAACCAUGCCUUUCAAACCUCUCCCUCUCCAAAUCCUAACCAAGCUCUCUCCUUUCUCACAAACAACCAAACCAUGCGCCUUUUAACUUCUCACUUCUACAAACUCUCUCUCCCAACAGUCACUUCUUCCAGCCAAACACUUUUUCCAACUCUCGCCCAAUUGGCCAAAUCUGUAAAAACCCAGGCCAUGGUGCUCUCACUUGCAGAAACUGUCUCAAUAGCUCUUACCAGGAUCACACUUUACAACCCAAACUCUUCACUCCCUCCUCCUAAGCUCCUACUUACCCCUCUACCACAUAUACUUGCACCACACCCUCAUCUUCAUCCACAACAACUUGGUAUGCUGAUUCUUGGGCCACUAAUCACCUUCCAAAUGACAUGGGCAACUUUUCUCUUAAUACACUGGACCUGACAAAUUAAUGUUGCCAAUGGUGAAUCAACAUUAUACUCUUCUCACUCAUCUUUUAACUUUAAAAAAAAUUCUUCACACUCGACAACACACAACUUGCUCUCAGUUCACAAAUUUUCCAAUGACGAAUGACAAUUUUAAUCUAACUUGCACUCAUUUCUCAUGUAUCAUCAAGGAUCAUAGUAGGGGAAAUAUCCUUUUUCAAGGCGUUAUUGAAGGCAGUCACUAACCCAUUCAUCUAUCCAAACGCAAGCCACCCUUUUUUCACUUCAAUGCCCUUGCCACAACCUCUCUUUGGCACAAAUGGCAAGGUCAUCCUUCAACUCACGUCCUCCAUCAAAUCUUAUCUACCAAUAAUCUUUAUGUUCCUCUUGAAACCCUAGACCUUCAUCUUGCUUCUACAACCCUUUUCUCCCAACCGUCCCAUCUUCACCCCCUCCCCUCAGCUCCCACUUGACCCUCUGCCUUAUACACUUCCACCACACCCUCAUCUUCAUCCACAACAACUUGGAAUGCUUAUUCUUGAGGUAUCAUCAGGGAUAAUACUGCAGGGAAAAUCCUAUUUCAAGGCGCUACUGAAGGCAGUCUCUAACCCAUUCAUCUGUCCAAAAGCAAUCCACUACUGUUUUGCUCCAACGACAUUGCCACAGCCUCUCUCUGGCACAAACAACUAGGUCCAUCAAAUCCUAUCUAUCAAUCAACUUUCUGUUCAAUGUACCUUUUUGCCAUUUUAUCAAUCUUCAUGUAAUUUCCAUUUCCCUUUUCAAUUAAUACAUUCGUAUCUAUGGGGUCCC